This 274-nucleotide long non-coding RNA is filed under the name Nicotiana benthamiana. Its description in RNAcentral is "long non-coding RNA (NBEN_LNC039939)". The record is from RNAcentral. Lineage: Eukaryota; Viridiplantae; Streptophyta; Magnoliopsida; Solanales; Solanaceae.
UGGAGAACAACAACGACACUAGUUCAUAAACUCUCUCUUAUACUUAAAGCUUUUUUGCUCUUUUUUGUUACUUGCUACAUCCACUGAAACUGCCAGCUGUAAGCCAAGGCUAGUUAUUGCACUACACUGCUCUAUACUUUGUGUCUGCUCUCCUUAACUGGUAUGUCCUUAUUUAAGUACAAGUUGAAAACUCUAUGUGUUCUCUUACUACAUUAGUUUACUGAUUUCCAGUCUAAGUCAUGUUUAUCACUUGGCUUUUUGAUACAUAACUAGC